CAGUCGCCCUUUAGAGGCUGUGCCGUUGAUCAUCACCAGCACCCUUCGCUGUGUAUUCACUAGUACACGCACCCAAAGACACGCGCAUCGGGUGCUUGGCAGCGAUAAACCGUGGGCAGCAGCAGCGUUCCGUUGCACCCAUAGCUUUCCAUCCGCGCCAUUUCGAGACCUCAACACUGCGGCACUUGUUUCCUUCACCUUGCAACGCGUGCAUGGCUCAACUAUGAGUGACCCAGCCAGGAUCAACCACUAUGAUGCGCGCGCCUACACCCGAAAGGGCGCAACGCGGCGCGUUGUGGUGCGCGAGAAGCCGCUUUUGAAGUCUCGCAUGCAGCGCUUCGCGGACUACCUACGCCCGACCACCCGCCACGGCUUCAACAUCGUGGGCACCUUCGAGCUGAGCAAGGUCAUGGCCUGCAUUAUCUUCCCUGUCUUCAUGCUUCUUUACUGGAAGAAUAAGGAGAAGGAGUUGCCGGACAGCUGGGAGCAGCAGUUUGGUGGCCUGCAACACCGCCAGUUCCGCGAGGAUCAGCUGCCAGAGCAAGACACUGACUACUUCAGCAUCAUGGAGAACUUCCAGGAGCGUCGCGAGGCCGCGCUGCAGAAGAAGCGGGAGGCGCUGCAGAGCAGAAUAGUAUAAAGCGCUGCGCACGGUGGAGCUGGAAGGUGGAUAGCUUGGUGUAUGCAUGUGUGCGGGCCUGUUCAUAUGCCAAUGAGAGAGGUUCCUCGCUGCUGCCGUUGGCAUUGGCCUGACGGACUUGUUCGGUUUUCAGUGCUGUCCUCGUCGCUGUUGUGGAUGGGAGAUUUUGUGCGGCGCUGCCUCUCUUCGCCUGUCGCCCCCCUCCUUUCCUGUCUUGUCGUUGCCGUUUCUCUUUCUAUGCCUGUGGCUGCCAUU
This 895-nucleotide unclassified non-coding RNA is filed under the name Leishmania donovani. Its description in RNAcentral is "gene:LdHU3.23.2340(CDS-product:hypothetical_prote in_conserved)". Lineage: Eukaryota; Euglenozoa; Kinetoplastea; Trypanosomatida; Trypanosomatidae. The record is from RNAcentral.